Molecule: ribosomal RNA, 1370 nt
Filed under: uncultured bacterium
Lineage: Bacteria
Description: bacterial SSU rRNA
Rfam family: Bacterial small subunit ribosomal RNA
Source: RNAcentral
AGAGUUUGAUCCUGGCUCAGGACGAACGCUGGCGGCGCGCCUAACACAUGCAAGUCGAACGGAGCUUAGAGAGCUUGCUUUUUAAGCUUAGUGGCGAACGGGUGAGUAACGCGUGAGUAACCUGCCCUAGAGUGGGGGACAACAGUUGGAAACGACUGCUAAUACCGCAUAAGCCCACGGUACCGCAUGGUACUGAGGGAAAAGGAUUUAUUCGCUUUAGGAUGGACUCGCGUCCAAUUAGCUAAUUGGUGAGGUAACGGCCCACCAAGGCGACGAUUGGUAGCCGGACUGAGAGGUUGAACGGCCACAUUGGGACUGAGACACGGCCCAGACUCCUACGGGAGGCAGCAGUGGGGGAUAUUGCACAAUGGGGGAACCCUGAUGCAGCGACGCCGCGUGGAGGAAGAAGGUUUUCGGAUUGUAAACUCCUGUCGUUAGGGACGAUAAUGACGGUACCUAACAAGAAAGCACCGGCUAACUACGUGCCAGCAGCCGCGGUAAAACGUAGGGUGCAAGCGUUGUCCGGAAUUACUGGGUGUAAAGGGAGCGCAGGCGGGAAGACAAGUUGGAAGUGAAAACCAUGGGCUCAACCCAUGAAUUGCUUUCAAAACUGUUUUUCUUGAGUAGUGCAGAGGUAGAUGGAAUUCCCGGUGUAGCGGUGGAAUGCGUAGAUAUCGGGAGGAACACCAGUGGCGAAGGCGGUCUACUGGGCACCAACUGACGCUGAGGCUCGAAAGCAUGGGUAGCAAACAGGAUUAGAUACCCUGGUAGUCCAUGCCGUAAACGAUGAUUACUAGGUGUUGGGGGAUUGACCCCCUCAGUGCCGCAGUUAACACAAUAAGUAAUCCACCUGGGGAGUACGACCGCAAGGUUGAAACUCAAAGGAAUUGACGGGGGCCCGCACAAGCAGUGGAGUAUGUGGUUUAAUUCGAAGCAACGCGAAGAACCUUACCAGGUCUUGACAUCCGAUGCAUAGCACAGAGAUGUGUGAAAUCCUUCGGGACAUCGAGACAGGUGGUGCAUGGUUGUCGUCAGCUCGUGUCGUGAGAUGUUGGGUUAAGUCCCGCAACGAGCGCAACCCUUAUUGCCAGUUACUACGUUAAGAGGACUCUGGCGAGACUGCCGUUGACAAAACGGAGGAAGGUGGGGAUGACGUCAAAUCAUCAUGCCCUUUAUGACCUGGGCUACACACGUACUACAAUGGCGUUAAACAAAGAGAAGCAAGACCGCGAGGUGGAGCAAAACUCAAAAACAACGUCUCAGUUCAGAUUGCAGGCUGCAACUCGCCUGCAUGAAGUCGGAAUUGCUAGUAAUCGCGGAUCAGCAUGCCGCGGUGAAUACGUUCCCGGGCCUUGCACACACCGCCCGUC